CAGAAAAUAGUUUAUAUAAAAUAUUAGUUUUGGAUAUUAAAGUUAGGUACUUACUUUUUUUUGA
Molecule: transfer RNA, 64 nt
Filed under: Pnyxia scabiei
Lineage: Eukaryota; Metazoa; Arthropoda; Insecta; Diptera; Sciaridae
Description: tRNA-Pro
Source: RNAcentral